CUACUACUACUUUGGUUCUACUUGGUUGGCUCGGAAUCUAUUUUCUGGACCCCAAGUAAUUCCCUGGAGUGGGUUAUGUAUUACUAGCUGCUUAUAGAACUGGACAAUAACUCCUAGACCCUAAGUAACUUCAUGAAUUAGAUUGAUUAGUAACUGGAUGCUCUACCGGUUGAUAUCUAUCUGUGAUGCCCCUGUUUGGAUGAGUGAUUCAUCCAGCCAUAUGCACUGAUGGUGUUGCUUUUACUGAAAGGAUGCAUUAUUUACUUGAUGCUUGACUUGGCAAUUUACUUGAUGGCUUAAUUGGAUGCUUCACAUGCUUAAAUUAUACUUAUGUUCCUCUGGUUAUGACAUGAGUCUUGGGGCCUUGCUGCUGGAUCCAAAGGAUCUAAGGAUCCACUAAUCAUUUAUAAGUUUGGAAUAUCAAUUAUUUGCAUGUGGUUGUGUAAAGUAAGUGUGCUACCAGAUUCAUCGACUUUAUUACUUGGUGGCUUUUACUCAGGGAUCUUGUUGCCCUCACAGAUGGUCUCUCUCUUAAUGGCUAUUACUUGAUAAGAACAGAUCUUAUGCUUGAUAUCUUGGCUUAGCCUGUGAUGCAAAGGCUGAGGCAAAAAUGUUGGAUAAGAACAGAUACUAAGAGAUGGCUUCCAAAUUUUCUAUGACGAUUCAGCAUAGCACUUCUAUGCCAUCUGAGAGAAAUAAUUCCUCCUGAUCCUCCUAGACUAUAUCUGGUUGCAGGGUGGUUGGAUUUAUUUACUUUGCAUGUUACCCUUUUAUUUUCCCUGAGAUGCAAAGGCUAAGAACACAUGCUUUUAUUAAGUUGAUGUAUCAACCUGCUGUUUGUAGAGAUCUUGGCCUUAUGGACUGUUGAUUGAUCUUCUUCUUGUGGAAUUCCUGCUCCUCCUAGCUUCUCCAUGUGCUGCCUCAUAUUCUGGUUCAUGAGAUCUUGCAGCUCUGGCUUGAUCUUGGUGAUGACCUACUUCUUCCUUGUUUGUUUCUUGUUGAUUAUCUGAUAUUCUGGAUGGGUGAAGAACAGAGGAUGUUCGUGGGUUGGUUGAUGCGUUGGAUAGAAGUGUGGUGCUUAAGGCAGCUUCCACAAGCAUGCUUUUAUACUCUGCUCCCCUUGCUACUUGUGAUCGACAGCACAUACAUGCAAACAUGUGUGUGUGCUGCUUGCUUGUAUGGUGCAAGUCCCAACCACGUGCAUCCCCUCUUGUGGAUAUGCAUGGUUGAGAAAAGAUCUUCCUUUUCCAUUUCUCUUUAUUUUUGAUAUAGCCACUUGACAUUACUUCUAUCUUGUGUUUUCUUUGUUUGUUUUGCAGGUGCUCAAGCUAAACAAGAAAUGAAGAUCUCCAACAUUUAGUUUAGGAUCUGUUUUACUUUUCUUAUUCUUGUAAUUGUGUUUUCUAUUAUUUACUUAGUUAGUAUUGUAAUACAUAUUGAAUAUUGUAAAGAUAAUGUAAAUGGGUGUUUUUAUUAAUCAAGCUCAAGUUUCUUUA
Lolium perenne is the source of this 1496-nucleotide non-coding RNA. Lineage: Eukaryota; Viridiplantae; Streptophyta; Magnoliopsida; Poales; Poaceae. The record is from RefSeq and is a predicted model, not a curated record.